UACGGAGGAUGCAAGCGUUAUCCGGAAUGAUUGGGCGUAAAGCGUCCGCAGGUGGCUGUGUAAGUCUGCUGUUAAAGAGUGAGGCUCAACCUCAUAAAGGCAGUGGAAACUACAUGGCUAGAGUGCGUUCGGGGCAGAGGGAAUUCCUGGUGUAGCGGUGAAAUGCGUAGAGAUCAGGAAGAACACCGGUGGCGAAGGCGCUCUGCUAGGCCGCAACUGACACUGAGGGACGAAAGCUAGGGGAGCGAAUGGG
RNAcentral lists this ribosomal RNA (253 nucleotides) under uncultured bacterium. Its description in RNAcentral is "partial 16S ribosomal RNA". It matches the Rfam family "Bacterial small subunit ribosomal RNA", at positions 524 to 776 of the family's 1533-position model. The record is from RNAcentral.